AUCGGGAACGGAUAAAACCCAUUGAUCACGAAUGAGGGGUUCAGAAAAUCUGUGUUUUUAGAUACGCGGAGGUCGCUGCCCGAAGCAGCUGCCUGCAGAGUUCAGAGCAGCUGCCUCUUGAGGAGUGGAGCUGGGUGGGGAGUGCGGGCGGCAGGGCGGUCUUGCUUUCAGUUUUAAGUGCUUCUUGUUAUUUUCCUUUUAAACAUGCUCACACGUUGCUUUAGUGAAAAUGUACACACAUGCGUGCGCACACACACACACAUGCACGCAGGCCUCUGGCUCCGGUUCUGAGUGAUGCUAAAUGGUUUUCCAAUGUGGGUAGAGCCUGCAAAACAGUCUGCAGCUGGACCGUGCUCUCCCCAGGGGCCAGAGCAUUUGCAAUAGUCAGAAAACGCCUCUGCCUUUGGUCUGCUCCCCCCCCCACCCCCCACCCCGUCACCAACCCCGGUCUGACUCUGACGAUGUCCCCCCCCCACCCCCCGCCGCUUUCCCCCAGCUUAUGUUCUCCUCUUUCCUCAUAAAAAGUUAUUGGAGCUCUCAGAAUAUUAGAACAUGAAUUUUUCUGUGAUAUAAAGAUUUAGCUGAACACUGAUUCUAAAAGGGAUAUGCAUUUUUUAUUUGGAAACUCCCUUGCACCAGGGCAGCACUUCCCAAAGAGGUAGCAUGUGGGAUGUUUGACCAGCCGUGGGAGAUGGAACCACAAGCCAGUCGUGAGAAACCUCCUACCCAGAGUCUCCGGCGCUUUUCUCUAGCUCUUGUUGACACUGAAUGAUACAGACAAAGAAAUGGAUUUCUCUUUUACCUCCGCAAAACCCCUUGCAGGUGCGUCCAACCUCCAAAGCGUUCCCUGAAGCAUCCUCUCUUUUGUCUUGUGGGGCCACAUGUCGGCGUUUUUCUUUUCCACUUCAAAACCAGAGUUGUUCUGUUAUUGCCAAACUGAAGGUACAGGGUAGCAAAAGGACAUGUUUUUCACACCCAGCUCCCGGAAGGGUGGAGGGCCAUCGUGGACCAAGUGCCAGAAGAAUGUGCUUUGUCCCGGGGCAGGGGCUUAGCAGCACCCUCCCGGAGAAACCAGGAGCUUUCUGGGAGGUCCCAGAAGUGCGACGUCUGUCAGCUAUGCCGAUGCAGACACAGGUCAGAAGACCAGCUCCUGGCGUGGCUUCCAGGGCUGUGAGGGCUCUGCUGUGGUCUGAUCCAAGCUGGCAGGAUUCUCUGAUAGGUGUCUGGGUUUUAAGGGGAUGAGAUAGUGGCACUCACUUGGCAGAAAGUUCAAAUCCGUAGAAAGAGCCGUAUUUUGCUGCCCGGAGAGUUGGGACAGGCUUUGUAGAACCUUUACUUUCCUUUGACUUAGGCGUCCUUGUCUUUGUUUUUUUAUCCCUUUUUUCCCUCCAGCUGGAGUUCUAGUUUUUGCUUUGGACUGUAUUUGGGGUGGUUGGAAAAGGUUGAACCCUGGGUGAAUAAUCCUCAGAAUGUUUAGUACCUUGGCACUCCUAAUUGGGCGAGCUUUUCUUGGUAACUUUCAUCAGCAAUACCCUGAUAUUCCACUCAGAUUCCAAGAGAGGGCGGUUCUGUUCCCCCAAGGUCUGGGCAUCUCAUUUUCACGCAGCUAAAUCCAAAAGUCCCAAAUAUCAUGGGACUGGGCUCUGUUGCCGGCAGGACGCCCACCUUCGGGAGUCAGGAGGGGACAGUUGUGUCAGUAUGUGCCGAGCUUUGCUUCGGAGACCAGAACCUGCAGGUCGUAUUCCCACAGGGCUCCGAAGCCUCCGCCUAGACUUGACUCUGCGCCAGGGGAAUACAACCCACUUUUUUCCCUGAGGGAAUUUAGUGUUUCUUUCUGGAGCCACAUUUUCUCUGGUGCUCUGACUCUUACAUCUGUCUCCAGCCCGGGCUACGCCCAACACAUUGCUGCCACAUUUCCAGAAAGAAUUGCGUGUGUCUGAGAACAUCCAUGAGGCUGAGCGCCACGCGCCGUGCGUGGCCGCCCCCGUCGCUAGAAGGGUGCGCUCUGGGCAGCCCUGGCUGCAGCUCGCGGCCUCAUCAAACACAGACCCAAGGACUUCUGCCCCUAGAGCUGGUCCCCAGCUACUUUAUUUUAUUUUAUUCUUACGGCCACACCUGCAGCGUAUCGAAGUUCCCAGGCUAGGGGUCCAGUCAGAGCUACAGCUGCCGCCUACACCACAGCCACAGCAAUGCAGGAUCCGAGCCACGUCUACGACCUCCACCACAGCUCCCGGCAACGCCAGAUCCUUAACCCACUGAGCGAGGCCAGGGAUCGAACCUACAUCCUCAUGGAUACCAGUCAGGUUCUUAACCCACUGAGCCGCCAUGGGAGCUCCCUAACCAUUUUAUAUUAACUAAGUUCUAGAAGAAACUUGCACAGAAGUUGAGGGGUCGGGGACACAGGUCGUGUGGGUGGGUGUUGUCUCCCAGGAGCCCACAGUAAGUGGCUGGGACUCGCUCUCCACACUGAACGAGAGGCGGUGAGGCGCCAUGAGCAGCACCCUGUUCCCUGGCUCUGCAGCGUUUCUGAGCACAAAGGCUCCCCUCCGCCUCGAGGGCAGUGACGCACACCAGCCGUUAGACUGUGCCGGACGGCUGGCCCUCUGGAAGGUCGUGGAGGUUGUGGGCUGUUUCUCCCACACCGAAAGCGGGGAUCUGCUUGGCCCUUGGAAUGCCGUCUGAGUUCGUAUAGCCCUUCCCUGCCACCUCCCUUUCCCUCACCGCGCCGUCUCCCAGCUUGUCCCCGUCCGUCUUCGGUGCCUGUAGAAACCUUCAGGGCUUGCUAGAAUCUUCUGCAUAUUCUUUAUACAGGUCCUGAUGGAGGAAUGUUCUAAUGGUUUCACAGACCCGUGGUGUCCAUUUUGGCUGCUUAGGAAUCCCCCGCACUUUCCCCAUUCUUGGCUGGAUGGCAGACCAGAGAUUCCACAGGGGUGCUGAAGAGCCAGCAAAGAUGGGAACGAGCGGCCCUGUUUCCCCUCCCCACCCCCACCCUUGGCCAGAUUGCGAAUCUGCCGGCAGUCGGGUUUGCAAAAAAGAUCACGUGAGUGAGAGAGUUUCAAAACCAUGUUCUAGAUGAAUGAGGUUAUUCCACAGUUAAACUCCUUACAGGUGAGCAAGCCGAUCAAGUUCAUGAAGACGUGAGCAGCUCGGGUCUUGACAUUGUCCACUGACAGAUGGACUGUCUGUUGGUACAACUAUAUCGACACAGUACCACCCAAACCGCACGACUCGUUAGACAAAGGGAGAUGGGUGAAGAUGAAGGGUUACAGACUGUUACUAGCUGAUCUUUGAAAAAAAAAAACAAAACCUGGGGUUGGCUCGUCUUCGGGGGUUCUGCUGAAUGAGCUCCCCCUUAAUAUUAAGCCCCUAUGAAUUUCAAGGCAAAUUUAAUCCAUAUGUUUCUGAUUCAAUUACUCUUAACUCAUUAAAUGUUUUUUAAAAGCUAUUUGAAAUUUGAGAAGCCUUUUUAUGAGCUUUAGUAAUCCUUUGUUCUUUGAAUUAGGAAGGAGAAUUUUGCCAAGAGUUAAUGGUACUUGAAGCUCAGCAUGCUGAAGGGGAUUCUAAACUAGCAAAAGGUCCAGUUUGCUGUCAUAGUCACAGGAUCUCGAAAUCUCUGCCACUUGCUGCUCCGUCCACUUGUCUGACGAUGCCGAGCUCUUUCUUUGACACGUGGCGGGGACCUCGUUGUGCACAAUAGCUAAGCUGCUGGAGAAGGGAACGCCUUUGAGUGGGUGCAUAUUCAGGUUAUCGCCCGUUUGGGGGAAGCUGGUCAAGUUCAAGUGGAACAUUCUGAGAAGCACCACUUCUUUCUUCCUUCGCUUCUGCUGUCACAGGUCAGAACAGAUCGCUGACGUUACCCCCAGGCGGCUCUCAAACAGCGGUCGGGGGAGGGCAGUGAGACGUUCUGUAACGUCAGAGACACUCAGCACUCAAACAUGGCAUCUGCAGAAUUCCUCGGCGUUGAACAGAGCUGAAAAGAAAGGCACAGCGCAGAGAACACAGCUUAUGGUCUAGAAACAGGAGACGGGCUUCUCCAAAGCAGCGGAAGACCUUCUAGGCCCCCGCUGCUGUGAAGAAAUGUUCUUUCUGCUGACGAGUGGGAAGAUUGUUGUCUGUUCACUUUCUGUUUGUUUGUUCUAAUAAGUUGAAUUGUGAAAACUAUUUCUGGAAAGAUAAACGUCAUUCAGACACACGGAAGCCACCAUUGAAAACCAUGGGGCUUGAGUGUGGAAUUCGAAGCUGCUGUGUAGCAAAGCCUCCCUGGCAGACAGAGGUAGGAUGGCUUGUUUGGAUCUAAGGUUUGGCUUGUUUGGAUCUAAGGUUUCAAACAGCUCUUGGGAGAGAGGAACAGAAAAGGCAGCAGUGGUGAUUAAGCCGCAGCAAUGGCUACAUACCGUCUCCGAACCCCAGGACCGUUCUUGCAGCAUGUGGCAGAAGCACCCAGGCGUCCCUGCCACCCGAAGCACCUUCCCAGGUAGAAGAGUGUAUAAUACAGGUGCACGUGCGUUGUACCUGCCGCAGGGUCUGGAGCAAGGAGCCCAGCUGCAGGGAUCCAGAACUAUUUUACUGCUGCUCUUUGGGAAGGUUCAUCUGUAGAUGGAGAGCUGGAAAGAUCCCUGCAGCCACUAAGGUUCCUACAGAAGCAGCACAGGGUGACACCAGAGAGUGGGGCUCCAAAACCGUAGAACUAAACUCAAAGCAGACGACCUCUUAGCUCCGUUGGCUUCCUGGUAAACUUAACACAGCGUCUGGUGCAUUGGCAGUGCGUUUUUCAAACUCUCCUGGCAAUUGUAGAAGAAGGUCAAGGAUGGCUUUCGAGUGAAGGUCACCCUUGUCUGUGCAGCACAAGCAUCCACUUAGAACUAUGGCUUCUAAAAUGUCCUAGACAAAUUAAACUUCGGGUAGGCGUGGGAAAAGGUUUUGCUUAAAUUUCGCAAAGCCUCGCAUGCCCUGAAAUCAACUCAUAAUUAAAUUUCAUCAGUGCCUCUACAGUCACAUUCUGAUUAAUGUCUUGGUGACAAGAGUUUCUAUGAGAAUGUGACCAUCUGUCUGCUAAGUUCAACCUAUAGGGACCCACACAAUUUCUUACUUCCAAGCCCUGCAAUAUUGGAUGAAAAAAGUAGGCCUGAAGAUCUUUGAAAUGAAUAAAAAGUAGACUCAGAAGUGGGGCAUUUACAGAGGCAGAAAUUAUUUUUAAAGAGAAAAAAACUAUAAUGGAAAAAAUAAAAAUCAUUAAAAUAAAUAGGAAAAAAGAUAUCUGGCACAUAUUGAAAACUUCUUGUGAGCCCUGUAAAUUAUAUGUGCUAGGAAGUAACUUUGCGAAACAUCUAUCAGCAAUUUUGCUUCUUCCAGCUGUUGUGCAGUCUGAGCCCGAAACACACACUCACAGCAGCUGCCCAGCCGCGCCACCUGAGCCUGGACGUGCCCACCGUCAGCCCGGGGUGGGGGCGCAGCAGAGACAACCCGUCUGGCCAAGGAAGCAGACGCAGAACGCUUCCAAAACCAAACAAAAGCUAUGUUUAUUUUUUUU
RNAcentral lists this long non-coding RNA (5530 nucleotides) under Sus scrofa (pig). RNAcentral describes it as "lncRNA (ENSSSCG00000052650.1)". The record is from RNAcentral. Lineage: Eukaryota; Metazoa; Chordata; Mammalia; Artiodactyla; Suidae.